UACGAAGGGGGCUAGCGUUGCUCGGAAUCACUGGGCGUAAAGGGCGCGUAGGCGGCCGAUCAAGUCAGGGGUGAAAGCCUGUGGCUCAACCACAGAAUUGCCUUUGAUACUGUUCGGCUCGAGACCGGAAGAGGUUGGUGGAACUGCGAGUGUAGAGGUGAAAUUCGUAGAUAUUCGCAAGAACACCAGUGGCGAAGGCGGCCAACUGGUCCGGUUCUGACGCUGAGGCGCGAAAGCGUGGGGAGCAAACAGG
RNAcentral lists this ribosomal RNA (253 nucleotides) under Microvirga sp. RNAcentral describes it as "partial 16S ribosomal RNA". It matches the Rfam family "Bacterial small subunit ribosomal RNA", at positions 524 to 776 of the family's 1533-position model. RNAcentral also lists the same sequence under 1 other name. The record is from RNAcentral. Lineage: Bacteria; Pseudomonadati; Pseudomonadota; Alphaproteobacteria; Hyphomicrobiales; Methylobacteriaceae.